This 1200-nucleotide long non-coding RNA is filed under the name Mytilus galloprovincialis (Mediterranean mussel). Lineage: Eukaryota; Metazoa; Mollusca; Bivalvia; Mytilida; Mytilidae. The record is from RNAcentral.
ACGUAUCCAGGUGUAAUGAUAAGUCGUUAUCCUAAGGCUAUUUUUUUCUUAUUUUUUCUGUACACUUAGCUUUCAUUUUUUAUUACCAUGCAUUGUCAAGCUUAGUAACUCAUAUAAUUAUUUGUCAGUAACUAAAUGUACGAUGCUGUCCCAUACUGAACCUUCUGACCUUGUUUGUUUACAUUUAAAUUUCAAUGGCGUCAAAAUCACGUGAUGUCAAUUCGUUCUACCCAAUCAAAUUGCUCUACUGUCAAUUAGGGGAUUUUCCAGUCUACGGCAAUUACGUUAUUUCUUUGUGGGAUAUUGCUUCAAAAUAGUUUGCAAUAAUUUUCGGUUUUAUUCAACAGGAAAACUCUUUUUUUGCCAUCCCUUUUGACAUCAGUGGAAUUCUGUAUGAAUAUUUAUCUACAGUCAUGAUGGUCAGAAUAUCGAUCUUUUUAUAAUGAAUAAAAAGAAAAUUCUAUGAAAAAUAAAUGUAAAUUAUUUUUCAUUAACCUACUCUAUAUUCCUGUACAAAAUUAUGGCAUGGGCAUCGUUUUUUCAAUUAGUUUUCCUUUCAUUUUGGUUGGGCUUUUUUCGCGGGAAAAUCGCGAAAGACGUAAGGAGCAUGUCAUUUUAAAAUUCCUAGAAAUACGAUUUGCUUGACCUGUAUUGCCUGCCACAAGAUUGAUGACGCUGAAUGGAAUGUACACAAAGCAAUGGAGGCCGGAAGUGGGAUUUUGUGAAGUUCUAGAAUGUUUUUAGACAUUCGGAAGUCGGGAUUGAAACGGGCAUUAGAAAUUUGGCAUUUUUUAGCAAUAAUUGAGAACAACAAUGAAAACUUACCUUCAGAAAUGUUUUUUUAUUCCAAAGUGCAGAAAAAACGUAUUCUACAUUGUUUUUCUACGCCGGAAGUAGCGUAGUGACGUCAAUGCGGAGUUUCCCCGUGUGUUAAGUUCAAACACAAAUACCUAACGAACUGACAAGAUGAACGAUUUUAGACUACGGUAGGAUACAAGUACACAUUUCAUAACGGUCAACCAAUUCGUGAUGGCGUCCAUAAAAUUAACGAAGGGAUGAUUUCAACUUCACCAUUUGGAACUCUUGGUUUAAUAGCUUCCUUGUGAGAAAAUGUGAACUCUAGAAAUGCCCCCACCAGUACGUAUGCCAGACAAAGAAAGAUGGCCUUCGUUAUCGACAAUUACGCCAAAUAUAGAAGAG